RNAcentral lists this non-coding RNA (20 nucleotides) under Eutreptiella gymnastica. Lineage: Eukaryota; Euglenozoa; Euglenophyceae; Eutreptiales; Eutreptiaceae. The record is from RNAcentral.
CAGGGCAGGAAGGCAGCAGC